CGCCCCCUAGUUCAGGGCCGGAGAGGCUGGCCUGCCCGCAGCGCAGACAGGAAUGUCACCGCGGUCUCCCAGGCUGAAUGACAAAAGUUCGUGGACUGCCCCCUCCCCGCCUAUCCUCCACCCACGCGUACCGCCCAGUUCCCCCCACCGUUUCCGACCCGGCAGCUUCUGGAAAACAGCGCCCUUGAUCCUCCCGGGCAGGAAGAAGGGCCAAGGAAGAGGUUAGAAGGGAGAGUUAGGAUUUCCCAAGAACCAGCCCUGAAGGCCUGGAGGUGGGGGAUUUCGCUUCUUAGUUGGACGGGAGCCCCUUGGGUUCCUCACUUCUUAGCCCGCGCCCUGCGGGAGGAGCGACUCUGCUUGUCCCUCAAGAUACUUGGGAAGGUGCCCGCUGCGCUGACACCGGCGAUCUCUUAGAAUGAAGACCACCCCUGGGCAAAAUUACGAAGAAGUGGAAGGAAAGAAGAGAAGAAGAAAGGAAUAUAGGCUACAUGUUUUACAGACAUUGUUUCAUCCAAUCUUCAAAACCAAUCUCUGAGGAUCUUCCUCAGCAUCAGUAAUUUCUUUGGAAAGAAUUGGAGAGAAAGAAGAUAUACAUCUUUAAAAGGAAAUUGUCACUACCUUGUUAACCCAACUCUACAAAUAUUCCUGACUUCAGACUAUCCAAGCAAAGACAGAAUACACAAUUUUUAAGUCUCCUACUUUUUCUAGGAGAGAAAAAUGUAUGAGAAAGGGAAAGACAAAAGCCCUAUCAAAGGCUUAUGGUGACUUGGUUAAAGAAGG
This is a long non-coding RNA of Symphalangus syndactylus (siamang), 780 nucleotides long. RefSeq lists it as uncharacterized. The record is from RefSeq and is a predicted model, not a curated record. NCBI's taxonomy places the organism in Eukaryota, Metazoa, Chordata, Mammalia, Primates, Hylobatidae.